UAGGGAAUAUUGGGCAAUGGAUGCAAGUCUGACCCAGCCAUGCCGCGUGCCGGAUGAAGGCCCUCAGGGUUGUCAACGGCUUUUAUUCGGGAAGAAGAGCACGGAUGCUUCUGUGUGUGACGGUAUCGAAUGAAUAAGCACCGGCUAACUCCGUGCCAGCAGCCGCGGUAAUACGGAGGGUGCGAGCGUUGUCCGGAUUUAUUGGGUUUAAAGGGUGCGUAGGUGGCUUUUUAAGUCAGUGGUGACAUACAGCCGCUCAACGGUUGAUGUGCAAUUGAUACUGAAGAGCUUGAGGCAAGUAGAGGCUGCCGGAAUGGAUGGUGUAGCGGUGAAAUGCGUAGAUAUCAUCCAGAACACCGAUUGCGAAGGCAGAUGGCUACGUUUGAUUUGACGCUGAGGCACGAAAGCAUGGGGAGCAAACA
RNAcentral lists this ribosomal RNA (422 nucleotides) under uncultured bacterium. RNAcentral describes it as "bacterial SSU rRNA". It matches the Rfam family "Bacterial small subunit ribosomal RNA", at positions 355 to 774 of the family's 1533-position model. The record is from RNAcentral.